UUGCCAAGGGGGGGUUGGGGGAGAUCCUGCCCCCCCUUGCCAAGGGGGGGUUGGGGGGGAUACUGCCCCCCCUUGCCAAG
RNAcentral lists this transfer RNA (80 nucleotides) under Microseira wollei NIES-4236. Its description in RNAcentral is "tRNA-Gly". The record is from RNAcentral. Lineage: Bacteria; Bacillati; Cyanobacteriota; Cyanophyceae; Aerosakkonematales; Aerosakkonemataceae.